This 3164-nucleotide long non-coding RNA is filed under the name Sus scrofa (pig). Its description in RNAcentral is "lncRNA (ENSSSCG00000058712.1)". Lineage: Eukaryota; Metazoa; Chordata; Mammalia; Artiodactyla; Suidae. The record is from RNAcentral.
CAGCUCCGAUUCGACCCCUGGCCUGGGAACCUCCAUAUGCUGCGGGAGCGGCCCAAAGAAAUAGCAAAAAAAAAAAAAAAAAAAAAAAAAAGAUAACUUCUUUUUUUGGCUAUGCCCAAGGCAUCUGGAAGUUUCUUUGUCAGGGGUGGAACCCAUGCUACAGCAGUGACCUGAGUCACAGCAGUGACAAUGCCAGAUCCUUAAUCACUAGGCUACCAGGGAACUCUAUAGGAUGACUUCUAAUGGCAGCAAAAUAUUCCUUUGUAUGUAUGCAACAUAAUGCCGGGUUGUUGAUCUUCACUUAAUAUUCUUAAAACAAAUAGCUACAUCUUUGGUAUAUCUCAUUAUUUUAUAGUAGGCAGUUUUUUAUAUGUCUUUAAUAUAAAAUUGCUAGAUAAAGACAUUGCUUGUUUAAAGAUAUACUUAAAUAGCUGGGUUUAAACGAUUUUUUUUUUUUUUUUUGCCUUUUUAGCUAUUUCUUGGGCUGCUCCCGCGGCAUAUGGAGGUUCCCAGGCUAGGGGUCGAAUCGGAGCUGUAGCCACCGGCCUACACCAGAGUCACAGCAACGCGGGAUCCGAGCCGCGUCUGCAACCUACACCACAGCUCACGGCAACGCCGGAUCGUCAACCCACUGAGCAAGGCCAGGGAUGGAACCCACAACCUCAUGGUUCCUAGUUGGAUUCGUUAACCACUGCGCCACAACGGGAACUCCAAAUGAUUUUUAAAAUAGAACAGGAAGAUACAAGAAAUCUUUAUGUGUAUCAGAAUUUCACUAUCUCAGAUUUACCUAUGUUCAUCUAUGCAACAGAUACCUGAAUAGUUGCCUUCAAGAAAGAGGGAGAGCAAAUACCCAUGAUAAAGUGUAGUGUAUAUUGUAACAGAGGGUGUGGAUGGGAGCUGAGGAACAAGGAUGGGGGCACACAUGAAGUGUGACCACAGAAGGCUUCCCAGAAGAAGAGGUGAUGCUUAAACUUACUCUAGAAGCUGAAUGGGUCUGAGACUCUUUGGGGUUAUAGGGCAGGGAGAGCAGAGGGAAGCCAAAGAGCAAGGCAGUGCUGUAGGAAAUAAGCAUUAAAGCAUGUCACUGGAACUUUUAAAACCCUGAUUUCUUCUGGUAAAUGUAAAAAGUCUCCCACACUCUCUUUAGAAUUCCCACAAGACAUCAACCCCCCACCCCCCCACCCCCAGAAAUCUGUGCAUCCUCACAAUCAAGAAAUCUUGGAGGGGAGUUCCAGUUGUGGCUCAGCCAGUCACCAAAGCAACUAGGACCCAUAAGGAUGCAGGUUCGAUCCCUGGCCUUGCUUAGUGGGUUAAGGAUCCAGCUUUGUCGUGAGCUACAGUGUAGGCCACAGAUGUGGCUCGGAUAUGCUGUGGCUGUGGCUGUGGCGUAGACCCGCAGCUGCAGCUCCAAUUUGACCCCUAGCCUGAGAACUUCCAUAUGCCAUAGCUGUGGCCCUAAAAAGAAAAGGAGGGAGGAAGGAAAGAAGGAAACUUGAAGGAAGUUCCUUGGUGGCUCAUCACUUUAAGGAUACAGUGUUGUCACUGCUGUGGCUUGGGUUCAAUCCCUGGCCCCAGAACUUCUACAUGCUGUGGGUGCAGACAAAAGUUUGGAAAUAGCUUUUCUUUCAGUGUUUUAGUUCAAAUGUUCUCUUUUGCAUUACUCUGCUUUCAGAAAUGUGAUUGGUACAGUAGGGGCUGGCCUGUAACUCAAGUAGAAAGUGCUUAGAGGUGCUGCUUGUUGCAAACCAUCCUGAUGAGAAAGCUCUGUGUGCAGCCCCAGUCUCCCAAGCAUAUUUCCCCUUAAGAAAGUGUGAAUCUGUUAUUUGAUUGGAACUGAGUGCAAAAAGAAGUUGCUUGACAACAUAUUGGUUGGUUUUAAUCUAAAGCCAAAUUUACAUUAAUUUUUAUCACAGUUCCAGUCAGAUUAGGAACUCAGAUCACAGUUGGAUUACAUCAACGAAGAAGACACGUACUUUUUCUUUACCACCCUCCUAAAGCCGUGGUUUUGCCUCUGCAAGGUAUUUAGCAAUAUCUGGAGGCAUUUUUGGUGAUCACACCUUGUGGUGGAGUGCCACUGACACCUAGUGAGUACAAGCCAAAGAUGCUUCUGAAUGUCCUCCAUACACAGAAUUGUACCCACCCCCCAAGCACCACACACAAACACACACACACACAAAAGUAUCCAGCUUCAAAUGUCAGUAAUGCCCAGGCUGAGAAACCUUACAGUAGAGCCAAGGAGUUUCCAUAGAUAGCUCCACUGGUAAUACAGCCCAGAUUAAAAAGCACUGAGUCAGUUUCUUUACACUAAUAUAUUUUUUUAAUUAAAGUGUAGUUGAUCUACAUUAUUGGGCUAAUUUCUGCUGUACAGCAAAGUGAUUUAGUUAUAUGCAUAUAUAUACAUUCUCUUUUUUUAAUUUAUUUUUGUCUUUUUAGAGCUACACCCUGGCAUAUGGAGGUUCCCAGGCCAGGGGUUGAAUCGGAGCUGCUAGCCUACACCACAGUCACAGUAACUCAGGAUCCGAUCCACUACAGCUCUUGGCAAUGCCCACUGAGCAGGGCCAGGAAGCAAACCUGCAUCCUCAUGAAUACUAGUCAGGUUUGUUAGCCACUGAGCCAUGACAGGAAUUCCCUACAUUCUUUUUCUUAAUUUUCCUUUUCAUUACGGAAAUUUCAUUUAUCCCAGAAGAUUGGCUACAGUUCUGUUUUUAUGCUAGCAUUGAAUAGAAGGUAGGGGUCUAAUCAGAGCUACAGCUGCCCACCUAUACCACAGCCACAGCAAUGUCAGAUCUAAGCCGCAUCUGUGACCUACACCACAGCUCAUGGCAAUGCAGGAUUCUUAACCCACUGAGCCAGGCCAGGGAUCAAACCUGCAUCUUCAUGGAUACUAGUUGGGUUCAUCACCACUGAGCAUGAUGGGAAUUCCAAUUUCUACUACUUGAAGUCGAGAAUUUCCAUAGAGUUAGGUUACUCCAGGUGUGUGACCGAGGAGACCCAGAAGAAUAACCUUGAGAUUGGUUGGCCAGUGUUAUAAAUUUGAUAUAUAAGUAUUGUAUAAUGCCACCUGUAUGAGGUAUCCAGAGGGUCAAAUUCAUAGAGACAGAUAGUAGAAUGGUGACUGUUGGACUGUGGGGAGGAGGGGAUGGUGAGUUAUUGUUUAAUGGGCA